GUGGGUGUCGCCUAGUGGUUUAAGGCGCCAGGUUGUGGCCCUGGAGAUCGAGGGUUCGAAUCCCUCCACUCACCCCA
RNAcentral lists this transfer RNA (77 nucleotides) under Dehalococcoidales bacterium. Its description in RNAcentral is "tRNA-His". It matches the Rfam family "tRNA". From Rfam's summary of the family: Transfer RNA (tRNA) molecules are approximately 80 nucleotides in length. Their secondary structure includes four short double-helical elements and three loops (D, anti-codon, and T loops). Further hydrogen bonds mediate the characteristic L-shaped molecular structure. tRNAs have two regions of fundamental functional importance: the anti-codon, which is responsible for specific mRNA codon recognition, and the 3' end, to which the tRNAs corresponding amino acid is attached (by aminoacyl-tRNA synthetases). tRNAs cope with the degeneracy of the genetic code in two manners: having more than one tRNA (with a specific anti-codon) for a particular amino acid; and 'wobble' base-pairing, i.e. permitting non-standard base-pairing at the 3rd anti-codon position. The record is from RNAcentral. RNAcentral also lists the same sequence under 1 other name. Lineage: Bacteria; Bacillati; Chloroflexota; Dehalococcoidia; Dehalococcoidales.